RNAcentral lists this long non-coding RNA (7350 nucleotides) under Chlamydomonas reinhardtii. RNAcentral describes it as "long non-coding RNA (CREI_LNC000336)". The record is from RNAcentral. Lineage: Eukaryota; Viridiplantae; Chlorophyta; Chlorophyceae; Chlamydomonadales; Chlamydomonadaceae.
CGGGCAGCGGCGUGAGCUAGCCUGUCGGCGCGUUGGGCUGGUGCCGCAUGCAUCGGCUUCCUGGAGGGCGUGGGUCAUCGCGGGUAUCAGGCCUGUGCAGUUUGCAGUGCGGGCGCCGCUGUGGCUCUUGGUGUGGGUCCCGACCUGUGUGCGCAGAGUGUCCGGGCUCGAUGGGUACUGGCCAGGUACGGUAGUGGUGCGUGGCUCUGUGCAUCUUCGUUGUGCAGGUGUUGCAGGCGGUCUGGCAUGGUGCGCUGCCGCCAGCGGGUGUGAGCGCUGAUUUGCUAUGGCUGGUGGGCGACAUCAGGUCCGUAGCGGGCAUGGCGCUCUUCUCCUGGAAGUCCCUGCUGGUCGCCCAGGAGCGCGGGGCUUGGAUAUUGGUGACUUGGCUCUGGUGCGGAAGGGUGGGCCGCGGUUGUUGUUGAAUGUCUGCAGUAACGACGACGGUGGCCCUGAGGCUGGAGGAAGUGGCUGUUAGGCCAUCAGCGUGAUUGCGUGUGGUCGCGUCGCAUUGGCACGACUUCCUGAUCUUAUUUUGUGACUUGAUCAACAGCUGUACAAGCAGGGCUGGAACAACACGCCUUUGCCUGGGCAGUACCAUUACUUGUGAAGUGUACCUGCCGAUGUCAGCCAGGCAUCGUUGUAUCAUGUGCAAACAAGUAGGUGUGGCAGCCAGUCAGACAUCUUUCAUUCUUUAUAUUGCAGCCGACCAAGAAUGGCAUAUAUACAGGCGAUGCAUUACUUGUAUGUGUGUGUGCGUGUGUGUGUGUGUGGAUGGAUGCGGUUUCGAGAUGGUGUGUACGUUUCAGCGUGCAAUCCUAUGCUUGAAAGUACCAACCGCUUAAUGUUACACCAGGACGGGUGACCGAACACGGCGCAGGUUAGUGCCCAUGCCGCUUUCGGGAUUCGAGUAGCAGCCUACGGGAAGAGCGUACAUCAUGCGCUCCGGUAUUUUGAAGUCAGUGUCUGUUGCUAACUUGGCAUGUAUUUGCUUUGUGGAUGCGUAAAGUGAGUCUGCGGAUUGUCUGUCUCGCGGUGCUUGUUGGAUGCAUGUAUGCGGAUGGGCGAUUCCCCCAAUGGGCGUCAGUCUUUGCACGCCCGGCAGUUUAUGAGGGCUGCGCUCUCAUGUUGUACUAUAUAAGCGGUUUCACAGUUAGGAACCCCAUUGCAGAGGUAGGUCCGAGCUACGCCUGCCAGUAGAGAUCAUUCGAGUGUAAACGCCCUGAGGAGUUCCUCAAGACUCAAUUUGCAUCAAGCUGGGCGCUCUUGAGGUGCAGACAUGUGGCCAUGCAGCGGCUUAAGAAGGAACUUGACACAGGCUUGGCGUGGGUACCACAGUGAUCCAGAAAGGAAAGCGAGCGUCAGCUGAUGCAUGUGCGAUGGGACAGUGGUAAGGCAGGUUGGUGAAGUCCCGUAGGGUGCAGCUGAUCCCCAGACCCCAGGAGAUGGCAAACAAUAUGCAACGGCAGCUGAUGCUACCGGUUGCGUCGUCAAUGCGGUCCACACGCGCACGCACCACUCCGCACCUCCGCUCCCCUACUGCUUCGCACCGCCACCCUGCGCCCACCGCUCAUCCCUACACCAAUUCUGGUUACCUUCCUAGGAACCGCCUGCAGGUGCGCUGCGGCUCCGCAUCGCGAGUGUGACGUUGCUGUGUGUCUGUGUGGUGCUAUUGCUUGGCCGGGCGCCCAGAGCGUGAGGAAUGCGCGUUUGCAAACUUCCAGCCAGCCAGCAACUUGUCGGGGCUUGUGAAGUGGUGAUGAUUGACGAGGCCGUCAGGCCAAGUACGGGCAGGGCAAGGCCUCGGCUAGCCUCGGGGGGCACAGUCUCGCGGCAAGCCUGUGCGUGCGGCCAGCUCUGAAAUGCAGUGCGCCCAAAGACCCCAGGAUGCAACAAGCAGCAGGCAGAGGAGAUGCGAAGAGAAGUGGCGCAGUUGGCACUUGGCAGCGUUAAGCGCUGUGUCAGUGGAUAUGGCAGAUGCUUAAUAAUGCGCUGUUCCUCUCGCCUGCAUCAUGUUGGUAGCUUGUCGGUACUGUAACUUUGGUGUUCGACCAGCCGCGCGCUCAUGGGACCCUGCCAUCUACAGGAGGGUGGGAAAUCCGGAAAGUUGUGGAUUGAGUCUGGUCGUACGGUUGCGGAAACCGGGCUGUGGCAGCAACUUAGUUGUGGUUGGCGGGGGUUCCAAGUUUAGGGCGGCGGCCUGUGCCGACAACUAAGAUUGGGCCGGGGGGCCGUGUCAGAUGCGGCCGGGGCCCCCGCGCGGCAACUCAGAUGCGGUCCGACGCCAUUGAAGAUUGCGCGCGGGGGAGGUAUCCACAACCUAGUUUCCCGACAUCAGAUGGGAUAUCCCCUCAGAAAGGAGCUUAGGAGAACACAGGACGGUCGGGGGAUUCACAGGAUGGUGAGUGGAUGGCGGGCCGGGUGAUGGCGGUGGAUAGCGGCACCUGCUGACAACCCGGCAGCUGGGGAGGGAUUGCCUGCCUAAAUGUUCAUAUACAUAUUUAAUCUGCUGAAGUAUUGAUAUAUGCUCGCAUUUCCCAGCAAGGCUUCUGGCAGCUCCCCUCUCUUGGUUCAGUCCCUGAACUGAGCGAGUUAGAAGCUCCAUAGUAAGGGAUAUGGUUGACAGUAUGUAACACUACAGGUCCAUUAAAACUGUAGGCAGUUUGGGGGUGUUUGCCAAAGACGAACCACUGGUUCGCGGCAGCUUGCUGGCAACUUUGCCCAUUUAAGGGCGCCCGGGGUGUCUACGAUCGUUCCAACUGCUGAGUGGUACUCAAUUAAAGCACUGCCUAGGACUAUAAAGCGUGCUGAAGGAACUGCUGAUCACCAGAGUUCUUGCUUCCUUGCCUUCUUUCAAGGCUUCGCACACGAAUAUAGUUUGUUGCAUAGAGCCUGUGUCUGCAGUCUGUGUCUGCAGCCUAUAUGUAAGAGAGUUGACGGGGAUGGAAGCGGGCUGCCCGUUCUUGGGCUACCCGGCUUCCGCUGUGCGUGCCGCCAUGCAGCCGUGCACCUACUACCGUGCAAACACUACACAACGAUGCUUGGCUCUCAAAACCAGAUAUGAGCGCGCGCCAACUGAGUUGUGCAGCGGGGCCGCCCUGCUAAACUCAGAUUGGGAUGCGUGUCAACCGAGUUGCGCGGCGGGACUGGUCUCCCAAACUUGGAUUGGGGCGGGCGGCAACUGAGAUGCGCGGCGGGACCGGUCCCCCAAACUCAGAUUGGGGCGGGUGGCAGCUGAGAUGCGCAGCGGCACCCCUGCCGCCAACCAAGAUGCCGCCCGGCGGCAACCAAGAUGCCGCGCGAGACAGAUGCCCGACCAGACCCACCCCCCAAGAUGCCCCCCGGCGGCAACUUUCUCACCCUUCCACAAGCAGCAGGCAGAGGAGAUGCGAAGAGAAGUGGCGCAGUUGGCACUUGGCAGCGUUAAGCGCUGUGUCAGUGGAUAUGGCAGAUGCUUAAUAAUGCGCUGUUCCUCUCGCCUGCAUCAUGUUGGUAGCUUGUCGGUACUGUAACUUUGGUGUUCGACCAGCCGCGCGCUCAUGGGACCCUGCCAUCUACUGGGAUUUGAGAAUUAGCUGCGCCCUACGGGACCUCGCCAAGACGCCAACCUGCCUAAACCCUGUCCCAUCGCACACUCAUCCCUAUACCACAUCACACUGCCCACCCCCACCCCACGCAUUUCCCACAUUCGCCGCCCUGCCCGUCUGACCGCAGAUACCCAGCUGCCGAUGGCGGGUGCAAACCGUGGCAGUACCCUGGUCCCAGUGCUAUUCUGUAUCUUCCUGUCUGCCCGGCAGAAAUUUGCCCUGUAAGAGCCUAUGGCGCCAUACUUUGUUUAUGAAAGCGUGAAAACAGCAAGAUUCUGAGGGGUCUCCAUAAGAAUCGCAGAAGACAUUUCGGGGUGACUGAGGUUCCCGAGAAUACUCUACGGUCGUGUCCUGCUGGCACCAUAGAGACACACCAAAGUAGAGCAGCCUUCUACCAGGGUAGUGACUCCGUGGGUGCGUGCGCGUGAGCGUGGGUGAGGGCGCCUGGGGUUUGCAUCUACACUUAUUCCCAAGAUGCUAUGGCAGAACCCAGCCAGGUUACAACGCAAGGAAGUGUGCUACGCAGUUUUGUUAUGGUUACGACGGCGACCCUGGCUCUGCCACGAGUUGCGUACUGCUUUCCUGCGUAUGGCCCUUUGUCAAACCCCGCCUCCGCUCAUCAUGCACGCAAAGCACACGCGCACAAGCACACACGCGCGCAUCCCGGGUCAGAGAUAAAACCACACGGACGCUCACACCAACAUCAUCUCGCCUCCUCACACAUCCUGCAACGUACAGCUCGAGCAACCAAGUACUUGUCACAAGCUUCACUCGCACCAUGCACCACACGCCCUGGCGACAUUGGCUACAAUUGGUUAUGGUACAGCUCCCUUCCCAUCCUCCACGCCACUCCUCCACGCGUGCCCCCCGCACGCGCACUCUCCCCUCACGCGCCAACGCCAACGUAUCCCGCCCUCCCUCCCCACGCAAUACGCUGCCAAUCAGCGCUGCUGUGCACUUCAGUUCUGCGGGUGCUGCCAGGGAUGCGCCGGCAGCCGCUGCAGCCGCGCCGCCGCCUCCCGCCGCCGCCCCUCCUCCUCCGCGCGCUCGCGCUCCCGCGCCGUGUCAGCUUGGAAAAUGGGCUGAGCCCCGCAUCAGGGAGGACUGACUGCAAAUACGAUGCCCCACGUCUAGGCCAUGUCAAGCAGAGAGCACAGAUCCCAUUGGGCCUCUUUCCAGUGGGGACUUUAGCCAUUUAGUGCCUCCCACUUUAGCGAAUUUCGUUUGCGACACUAACUAGCAGCACACCUUGGCCAUUUAUCUUGACAUUUAGCUAGGCGCACCCAAAGGCAACUUGGGUGUUUGCCGCGUGUCACCCCUCACGAAAGCUGCUCCCCGGCGAGAUCGCCGAAGCCGACCGAGGUCGGCUUUACACCGCCCCGCUUAGCGUCCUACUAUAUUUAGUGUUUUUAAGCGACCCCACAAAUCAGCGGAGUGCGCGCAACAGGGCGCCACUAAAUCGACUGGAAAGAGGCCCAUUGCCAAAAUUUCGGCCAUUGGGUGCCGUGGCCUGCACCUGCAACCGUGGCGCAUGCAAUCAGAAAUUCACCAGUCAUCUAAUCGUCAUAGCUCACAGCUACUUAAGCACAGCUACUUGAGUACUACAUGCUGUGUGCAGCUCUCGUGAGAGAUCCUGCCUUCGCACAGCUUAGCGCAGCGUCAUAGCAAGUUGACGUGUUUUCGUGCUCACUUCAGCCGCUAGGGCUGUUACUCCGGGAGUGGCAGGAAUUUUGGGAUUAAUUGGCAACAUGGCCAGCCAGACCGAAGUUAUUGAUGCUGUCAACGCUGCUGCUACCUCUUUCGGCAUGGACGGCACGGAGUUAGAGCAGCUCCUGGGCUACGUGGCCUCAAUGCCGGCGGAUGAGUACCGCGACUUCACUAGUCCGGGUGUCCAGGACCCCAAGGCAAUCUUGGAGCUCGUGCGGAGUCGAUUUAAGGCUCAAGAAGGUAGGAUAAUCUCCGUCUGUGGUGCCGUUAAGCCGUUUGGGUUUUAUUGGCGCAGUGUGGCUCCUGCUGGCCUUGGUGGUGAGCAGCAGCCCUGCGUUCCUCUUGCGCAGGCGUGGCGUCUGGCUCUCAGCACAGUGCGAGCAUCACAGGUGAGUUGUGGGUCGACCAGCUUCCUAAAACGUCGGACGGGCAGUGGGGCGCUACCACUGGGUUUUGGGCGGGUUGGCAUCUGUGCGCAACCAGACAGGUUGCCAAGGCUAUCACAUCAUGGAAGUGGUGCAUCGCCUCACGGCCCACCUCUUGUACUUGUGGUCCGUCGCAGCGGUGCCGGCUGCCGGAGCUCCCGCGCCCACUGCGCCGCCGUACGUCGACAUGGCGAUGCUGAAGGACUUGCUGGCGGAGCAGGCGCGGUCGCUGAAGGACGGGCUGGCGGAGCAGGCGCGGUCGCUGAAGGACGCGCUUGCGGAGCAGGCGCGGUUGCAGAACGCCGCGCUUGCGGAGCAGGCGCGGUUGCAGAACGACACGCUGGCGCGGUCGCUGGCGGAGCAGGCGCGGUCGCUGAAGGACGCGCUGGCGGAGCAGGCGCGGUUGCAGAACGCCGCGCUUGCGGAGCAGGCGCGGUUGCAGAACGACGCGCUGGCGCGGUCGCUGGCGGAGCAGGCGCGGUCGCUGAAGGACGCGCUGGCGGAGCAGACGCGGUCGCUGACGGCCAAGGUGCAGGAAGUUCUGGUUGACAACGCGCAGCGGCGUCACCACCCCGGGGCUUAUCUCCGACGGGAGUGGGCUAUGGUAAGCUGGAUCCUUACCAGGCUUGGGUUGAAGGCUCUGACAGUGCACGACGGGUCGAUCUGCACGACAGUGUAGAGCUUCGUGGGGCUUCGUGUGGAUGUUUUUCUGAUGCUGACUAUGUCCUUAUCUAUCGUUGACCGACAACCCGAAUUCGAACCCCCCUACCGUCUACCACUUAUCUAGUCAUGAAUGCCCCCGCCCCGGCCCUGCGUUGCUGUGUUGCCCCUGCGCCAUGCCUGACCGCGCCCGCUUUUUACGUGCUUGCCCCGCAUGUUCUGCCUGGUGGCGAUGGCGUGGCGUCUGCGCACCGAGCGCGCAGGUGAGUCGCGGGUAUCGGCCCGGAUCGGCCAAAGUAUGCAGCCGCAGCUCGCACUUCUGCCAUGAUUGGGCAACGCAUGCCGAAUACAGUUUACGUGCUCGCAAAGCGUUUUCACUACUACGCGCCACAUGCGUCCGCUUUUCCUAGCUAAACGGGCACUGUCACUUUCACGGAGGGGUAACGAGCUGGCCGCUCAUUCGACAAUAAUUUCGUCUGCUGGUCUUCAGUGCAUCCUGUACCGCUUUCCUAACCAUCCUUGCACCCCCCCCCCCCCCGAUGCACUGGGAACCUUGCAGAGCAAGGCGGCAGUGCCCAAGGAGAAGAAGGUGUUGUGACCGUGUGGGAUAUUAGUGCUCAUAGCCGUCGGAGCGGCACCUGUGGCGCUGUCCGCGGUACUGCUGCUCGGCCAACAGUACUGCCGCGUGACAGCAGUCGUGGCGGCUAUGCGAAUGCGGGCAGCGGCGUGGGCUAGCCUGUCGGCGCGUUGGGCUGUUGCCGCAUACAUCGGCUUCCUGGAGGGCGUGGGUCAUCGCGGGUAUCAGGCCUGUGCAGUUUGCAGUGCGGGCGCCGCUGUGGCUCUUGGUGUGGGUCCCGACCUGUGUGCGCAGAGUGUCCGGGCUCGAUGGGUACUGGCCAGGUACGGUAGUGGUGCGUGGCGCUGUGCAUCUUCGUUGUGCAGGUGUUGCAGGCGGUCUGGCAUGGUGCGCU